AAGUCGUGAGGCGGAGCUAAUCCCUUAAAGCCAUUCUCAGUUCGGAUUGUAGGCUGAAACUCGCCUACAUGAAGCUGGAGUUACUAGUAAUCGCAGAUCAGAAUGCUGCGGUGAAUGCGUUCCCGGGUCUUGUACACACCGCCCGUCACACCACGGAAGUUGGGGGGCGCCCGAAGCCACUUAGCUAACCCUUUUGGGAAGCGAGUGUCGAAGGUGAAAUCAAUAACUGGGGUGAAGUCGUAACAAGGUAUC
RNAcentral lists this ribosomal RNA (252 nucleotides) under uncultured bacterium. RNAcentral describes it as "partial 16S ribosomal RNA". It matches the Rfam family "Bacterial small subunit ribosomal RNA", at positions 1252 to 1500 of the family's 1533-position model. The record is from RNAcentral.